This 232-nucleotide ribosomal RNA is filed under the name uncultured bacterium. RNAcentral describes it as "partial 16S ribosomal RNA". It matches the Rfam family "Bacterial small subunit ribosomal RNA", at positions 96 to 334 of the family's 1533-position model. The record is from RNAcentral.
CGGCGAACGGGUGAGUAACGCGUAGGAAUCUGCCUUUCAGUGAGGAAUACUCUCGAGAAAUCGAGGUUAAUACUGCAUACGUCUUGAAAAAGAGAAAGAUGGCCUCUUGCUGUCGCUGAAAGAUGAGCCUGCGUACUAUUAGCUAGUUGGUGGGGUAAAGGCCUACCAAGGCGAUGAUGGUUAGCCGGCCUGAGAGGGCGUACGGCCACACUGGAACUUAGACACGGUCCAG